GGCUCAGAUUGAACGCUGGCGGCAGGCCUAACACAUGCAAGUCGAGCGGCAGCGGAAAGUAGCUUGCUACUUUGCCGGCGAGCGGCGGACGGGUGAGUAAUGUCUGGGAAACUGCCUGAUGGAGGGGGAUAACUACUGGAAACGGUAGCUAAUACCGCAUGACCUCGAAAGAGCAAAGUGGGGGAUCUUCGGACCUCACGCCAUCGGAUGUGCCCAGAUGGGAUUAGCUAGUAGGUGAGGUAAUGGCUCACCUAGGCGACGAUCCCUAGCUGGUCUGAGAGGAUGACCAGCCACACUGGAACUGAGACACGGUCCAGACUCCUACGGGAGGCAGCAGUGGGGAAUAUUGCACAAUGGGCGCAAGCCUGAUGCAGCCAUGCCGCGUGUGUGAAGAAGG
RNAcentral lists this ribosomal RNA (397 nucleotides) under uncultured bacterium. RNAcentral's name for it is "bacterial SSU rRNA". It matches the Rfam family "Bacterial small subunit ribosomal RNA", at positions 21 to 414 of the family's 1533-position model. The record is from RNAcentral.